Non-coding RNA from Vicugna pacos (alpaca), 72 nucleotides. The record is from the annotation of a RefSeq genome assembly. NCBI's taxonomy places the organism in Eukaryota, Metazoa, Chordata, Mammalia, Artiodactyla, Camelidae.
GGAAGUAUAGCUCAGUGGUAGAGUGUAUGACUGGCAUGCAUGAGGUCCUGGGUUCAAUCCCCAGUACCUCCA